AUGUCUGCCCUAGAGGACAAGGUGGGUGGGUUAGGUUACAGCUGAUGUCUGCCCUAGAGGACAAGGUGGGUGGGUUAGGUUACAGCUUCACCUCAAGGAGAGGAUGUCUGCCCUAGAGGACCGGUGGGUGGGUUAGGUUACAGCUGAUGUCUGCCCUAGAGGACAAGGUGGGUGGGUUAGGUUACAGCUUCACCUCAAGGAGAGGAUGUCUGCCCUAGAGGACAAGGUGGGUGGGAUAGUUUACAACGGAUGUCUGCCCUAGAGGACAAGGUGGGUGGGUUAGGUUAAAGCUUCACCUCAAGGAGAGGAUGUCUGCCCUAGAGGACAAGGUGGGUGGGUUAGGUUACAGCUGAUGUCUGCCCUAGAGGACAAGGUGGGUGGGUUAGGCUACAGCUUCACCUCAAGGAGAGGAUGUCUGCCCUAGAGGACAAGGUGGGUGGGUUAGGUUACAGCUUCACCUCAAGGAGAGGAUGUCUGCCCUAGAGGACAAGGUGGGUGGGUUAGGUUACAGCUGAUGUCUGCCCUAGAGGACAAGGUGGGUGGGUUAGGUUAAAGCUUCACCUCAAGGAGAGGAUGUCUGCCCUAGAGGACAAGGUGGGUGGGUUAGGUUACAGCUGAUGUCUGCCCUAGAGGACAAGGUGGGUGGGUUAGGUUACAGCUGAUGUCUGCCCUAGAGGACAAGGUGGGUGGGUUAGGUUACAGCUUCACCUCAAGGAGAGGAUGUCUGCCCUAGAGGACCGGUGGGUGGGUUAGGUUACAGCUGAUGUCUGCCCUAGAGGACAAGGUGGGUGGGUUAGGUUACAGCUUCAC
Oncorhynchus mykiss (rainbow trout) is the source of this 810-nucleotide non-coding RNA. The record is from RefSeq and is a predicted model, not a curated record. NCBI's taxonomy places the organism in Eukaryota, Metazoa, Chordata, Actinopteri, Salmoniformes, Salmonidae.